CCUACGGGAGGCUGCAGUGGGGGAUAUUGCACAAUGGGGGGAACCCUGAUGCAGCGACGCCGCGUGGGUGAAGGAGCGUUUCGGCGCGUAAAGCCCUAUCGGCAGGGAAGAAGAUGACGGUACCUGACCAAGAAGCCCCGGCUAACUACGUGCCAGCAGCCGAGGUAAUACGUAGGGGGCAAGCGGUAUCCGGGUUUACUGGGUGUAAGGGGGUCGAUGAGGGGAAUGCUAGCCAGGAGCGAAAGCCCGGGGCCCAACCCCGGGACUGCUGUUGGAACUGCGUGGGUGGAGUACAGGAGGGGCAGGCGGAAUUCGUGGUGUAGCGGUGAAAUGCGUAGAUAUUAGGCAGAACACCGGUGGCGAAGGCGGCCUGCUGGAGUAUGACUGACGUUGAGGCCCGAAGGCGUGGGGAGCGAACAGGAUUAGAUACCCCGGUAGUC
This 440-nucleotide ribosomal RNA is filed under the name uncultured bacterium. Its description in RNAcentral is "partial 16S ribosomal RNA". It matches the Rfam family "Bacterial small subunit ribosomal RNA", at positions 338 to 795 of the family's 1533-position model. The record is from RNAcentral.